Molecule: ribosomal RNA, 497 nt
Filed under: uncultured bacterium
Lineage: Bacteria
Description: partial 16S ribosomal RNA
Rfam family: Bacterial small subunit ribosomal RNA
Source: RNAcentral
GAUGAACGCUGGCGGCGUGCCUAAUACAUGCAAGUCGAGCGAACAGACGAGGAGCUUGCUCCUCUGACGUUAGCGGCGGACGGGUGAGUAACACGUGGAUAACCUACCUAUAAGACUGGGAUAACUUCGGGAAACCGGAGCUAAUACCGGAUAAUAUAUUGAACCGCAUGGUUCAAUAGUGAAAGACGGUUUUGCUGUCACUUAUAGAUGGAUCCGCGCCGCAUUAGCUAGUUGGUAAGGUAACGGCUUACCAAGUCAACGAUGCGUAGCCGACCUGAGAGGGUGAUCGGCCCCACUGGAACUGAGACACGGUCCAGACUCCUACGGGAGGCAGCAGCAGGGACUCUUCCGCAAUGGGCGAAAGACUGACGGAGCAACGCCGCGUGAGUGAUGCAGGUCUUCGGAUCGUAAAACUCUGUUAUUAGGGAAGAACAAAUGUGCAAGUAACUAUGCACGUCUUGACGGUACCUAAUCAGAAAGCCACGGCUAACUACGUG